AGGAAGCAAAGAUCUUUAUUUUCACUGAUCGGGUCUCAGCUGAACUCAUGUCCAAAAUGUCUGAGCACUGAGCACAUGCAUUUUAUAGACUAUACAUCCCCCAUCAGUACCCUUACACCAAUCAACAAACAGGAUUACCUAAUAUGGACAGGCAGUAUGGAGAGAAUGGAAUGUGGUUUCAGUUCUUGCACAUGCUCAGUACAUUGAUGACAGUUUCCUGACUACAUGUAACUAACAGAUACAUGUGCUGCUAUAUGCCAUGUGGAGAUUUUAAGCCUACUAAAUUUUGGGCUUAGCUGAGAUCCCCUCAAAUUCCCCCCUUUGAUGCUGCUGAAACUAUGUAUUCCAGAUGCAUCCCUUACCAUACUUUGCCAAUACCACUCAGUUAAAAUAGAACAGGAGAAACUAUAGAAGCUUUUUAAACUUAACAAUAGAAGUUCCUAUGUAAACUUAUUAAAGCUCAGCUACCCGGUUACAGGUUACUUCUCUCUGAGAUAGAGGUUCAUAUCUCCAGAGGGCCAUUACGUGGGCUGCCGUCUUUCUCUCAAUAGUACUCUUGAUAACACUACGUACAGACUGUAUUAUUAAAGGAAUCAAGCAGGGUAGUAAGAGACAUAAGAUAAUGAUAACUACCACUCCUCCUACCAGUGCCUUUAACCCUCCAAACUGUUCAUACCAGCUUCCGAACCAACUAACUGGAUUAUACCCGUUCCAGAUCUGAGUAGGUACGUGCAUACACCUUGAGUCCUCAAGUCUCUCCUGUUUGAAUUGGUAACAAAAAGAAAGUGGGGCAUGUCUAUUAAACAGUGAGCAGUCUGUGGGUGGGUGCCCUAAAUAAAAAAAAUUAACCCCCCCUCCCCCAGGUGACUAGG
This is a non-coding RNA of Pelobates cultripes (western spadefoot toad), 872 nucleotides long. Lineage: Eukaryota; Metazoa; Chordata; Amphibia; Anura; Pelobatidae. The record is from the annotation of a GenBank genome assembly.